This 496-nucleotide ribosomal RNA is filed under the name uncultured bacterium. Its description in RNAcentral is "partial 16S ribosomal RNA". It matches the Rfam family "Bacterial small subunit ribosomal RNA", at positions 29 to 507 of the family's 1533-position model. The record is from RNAcentral.
AUGCACGCUGGCGGCGUGCCUAAUACAUGCACGUCGAGCGAACAGACGAGGAGCUUGCUCCUUUGACGUUAGCGGCGGACGGGUGAGUAACACGUGGAUAACCUACCUAUAAGACUGGGAUAACUUCGGGAAACCGGAGCUAAUACCGGAUAACAUGUUGAACCGCAUGGUUCAACAGUGAAAGACGGUCUUGCUGUCACUUAUAGAUGGAUCCGCGCCGCAUUAGCUAGUUGGUAAGGUAACGGCUUACCAAGGCAACGAUGCGUAGCCGACCUGAGAGGGUGAUCGGCCACACUGGAACUGAGACACGGUCCAGACUCCUACGGGAGGCAGCAGUAGGGAAUCUUCCGCAAUGGGCGAAAGCCUGACGGAGCAACGCCGCGUGAGUGAAGAAGGUCUUCGGAUCGUAAAACUCUGUUAUUAGGGAAGAACAAAUGUGUAAGUAACUAUGCACGCCUUGACGGUACCUAAUCAGAAAGCCACGGCUAACUACGUG